This 607-nucleotide small RNA is filed under the name Pongo abelii (Sumatran orangutan). Its description in RNAcentral is "processed transcript". Lineage: Eukaryota; Metazoa; Chordata; Mammalia; Primates; Hominidae. The record is from RNAcentral.
AUGUGAAAAGUUGAUUUCAGCACAAGAAUUUGACAUUCUGGUUUCCAGCCCAGGAUUGUCAUUUAUGGGUAGAUUUGCAAUUUUAGAAUGACAGCCCCUCCAAACUCUUCAUUAUUACUGUUUUAUGAAACAGGAUGUGCUUAAUUGUACUGAAGGCCCAGUUCACAGAAGUUAACCCUCUGGGUGAAGCAUUGAUGAAAGUUUUGAUAAGCCAAAGUGCCCCUAAAACCAAUGAGAACAAGAAGGGAUCUGAGUGCAGAGGCACCUGGGAGCUUUGAGGGAUACAUUGCUCAAUGGCACCAGCAUGAUAUCAUUGAUCAUUCCUCCCAAAGACCAGAUUUCACGAGUGGCAAAAAUGUUAGCGGAUGAGUUUGGAACUGCAUCUAACAUUAAGUCACGAGUAAACCGCCUUUCAGUCCUGGGAGCCAUUACAUCUGUACAACAAAGACUCAAACUUUAUAACAAAGUACCUCCAAAUGGUCUGGUUGUAUACUGUGGAACAAUUGUAACAGAAGAAGGAAAGGAAAAGAAAGUCAACAUUGACUUUGAACCUUUCAAACCAAUUAAUACGUCAUUGUAUUUGUGUGACAACAAAUUCCAUACAGAG